UACGAAGGGGGCUAGCGUUGCUCGGAAUUACUGGGCGUAAAGGGAGCGUAGGCGGACUGUUAAGUUAGAGGUGAAAGCCCAGGGCUCAACCUUGGAAUUGCCUUUGAUACUGGCAGUCUUGAGUACGGAAGAGGUAUGUGGAACUCCGAGUGUAGAGGUGAAAUUCGUAGAUAUUCGGAAGAACACCAGUGGCGAAGGCGACAUACUGGUCCGUUACUGACGCUGAGGCUCGAAAGCGUGGGGGAGCAAACAGGAUUAGAUACCCUGGUAGUCCACGCCGUAAACGAUGAGUGCUGGUUGUCGGCAUGCAUGCAUGUCGGUGACGCAGCUAACGCAUUAAGCACUCCGCCUGGGGAGUACGGUCGCAAGAUUAAAACUCAA
Molecule: ribosomal RNA, 381 nt
Filed under: uncultured bacterium
Lineage: Bacteria
Description: bacterial SSU rRNA
Rfam family: Bacterial small subunit ribosomal RNA
Source: RNAcentral